AAUCAACGCUGGCGGCGUGCCUCAGACAUGCAAGUCGAACGAUUAAAGCUCCCUUCGGGGAGUGCAUAGAGUGGCGCACGGGUGAGUAACACGUAAGUAAUCUACCCUCGAGUGGGGAAUAACGUCCGGAAACGGACGCUAAUACCGCAUAAUGCAGCGGCACCGCAAGGUGACAGUUGUUAAAGAUUUAUCGCUUGAGGAGGAGCUUGCGGCAGAUUAGCUUGUUGGUAAGGUAAUGGCUUACCAAGGCUACGAUCUGUAACCGGUCUAAGAGGACGGUCGGUCACACUGACACUGAAUAACGGGUCAGACUCCUACGGGAGGCAGCAGUCGGGAAUUUGGGCAAUGGGCGAAAGCCUGACCCAGCAACGCCGCGUGAAGGAUGAAGUAUUUCGGUAUGUAAACUUCGAAAGAAUGGGAAGAAUCAAUGACGGUACCAUUUAUAAGGUCCGGCUAACUACGUGCCAGCAGCCGCGGUAAUACGUAGGGACCAAGCGUUGUUCGGAUUUAC
Molecule: ribosomal RNA, 511 nt
Filed under: uncultured bacterium
Lineage: Bacteria
Description: bacterial SSU rRNA
Rfam family: Bacterial small subunit ribosomal RNA
Source: RNAcentral